UAUAACAUAACUAAAAACUAACCGACAUUUCAUGUUUUUUCUUUUAUCCCUCUCCUCCCCCUCCUUUUCAAAACCCUAACCCCUCUUCUUCCCACUAUUUUCUUCCGAAAACCCUAACCCUAGUCCUAACCACCAUGUAUCUCUACAGUCUCACUCUGCAACAAUCCACCGGCAUACUCUGCGCAAUCAAUGGCAACUUCUCGGGAACCAAAACCCCCGAAAUCGUCGUCGCGCGUGGCAAAAUCCUCGAGCUUCUCCGCCCCGAAAGUUCAGGAAAAAUCGAAAGUGUUCUCUCCACUGACAUUUUCGGUGCCAUUCGCUCCCUCGCUCAGUUCCGUCUCACCGGCUCUCAGAAGGACUACAUCGUUGUCGGGUCAGAUUCGGGUCGGAUCGUUAUUCUUGAGUACAAUCCUUCACGAAAUGUCUUCGAUAAAGUCCACCAAGAAACUUUCGGUAAAUCAGGUUGUCGCCGGAUCGUUCCGGGUCAGUAUUUGGCUGUUGACCCAAAAGGUCGUGCCGUUAUGAUUGGUGCUUGUGAGAAGCAGAAAUUAGUUUAUGUUUUGAAUAGAGAUACUGCUGCUAGAUUAACUAUUUCAUCUCCAUUAGAAGCUCAUAAAUCUCACACUAUUGUUUAUUCUAUAUGUGGUGUUGAUUGUGGAUUCGAUAAUCCAAUUUUCGCAGCAAUUGAGUUGGAUUACUCUGAGGCUGACCAGGAUUCAACUGGUCAAGCUGCGAGCGAGGCGCAAAAGCAAUUGACAUUUUAUGAAUUAGAUUUAGGGCUUAAUCAUGUGUCACGAAAAUGGUCUGAACCGGUUGAUAAUGGGGCGAAUAUGUUAGUUACAGUGCCUGGAGGAGGGGAUGGGCCAAGUGGGGUUUUAGUUUGUGCUGAGAAUUUUGUGAUUUAUAAGAAUCAGGGUCAUCCAGAUGUUAGGGCUGUUAUUCCUAGACGUCUUGAUUUGCCAGCCGAACGUGGAGUUUUGAUAGUUUCAGCUGCCACACAUAGGCAGAAAUCGUUGUUUUUCUUUUUGUUGCAGACAGAGUAUGGGGACAUAUUUAAGGUUACUUUAGAACAUGACAAUGAGCAUGUUAGUGAGUUGAAGAUAAAGUAUUUUGAUACUAUUCCUGUGUCUGCGUCGAUGUGUGUGCUGAAAUCGGGGUAUUUGUUUGCUGCUUCAGAGUUUGGCAACCAUGCUUUGUAUCAGUUUCAGGCAAUUGGGGCUGACCCUGAUGUGGAAGCCUCCUCGGCUACGUUGAUGGAGACUGAAGAAGGAUUUCAACCUGUGUUUUUCCAGCCUAGAGGGCUCAAGAAUCUUGUUAGGAUUGAGCAAGUUGAGAGUUUGAUGCCAAUUAUGGAUAUGAAGAUUUCAAAUUUGUUCGAGGAGGAAGCACCUCAGAUUUUUACUUUAUGUGGGCGUGGUCCUCGUUCAUCACUUAGGAUACUGAGGCCUGGUCUGGCUGUUAGUGAGAUGGCUGUGUCUCAGCUUCCUGGUGUCCCGAGUGCUGUUUGGACUGUGAAAAAGAAUCUAAAUGAUGAAUUUGAUGCAUAUAUCGUUGUUUCUUUUAACAAUGCAACUCUUGUGCUUUCAAUUGGUGAAACUGUUGAAGAAGUUAGUGAUAGUGGGUUCCUUGAUACAACCCCUUCACUUGCUGUUUCUUUGAUUGGUGAUGAUUCUCUAAUGCAAGUUCAUCCCAGUGGCAUUAGGCAUAUUAGGGAAGAUGGGCGUAUUAAUGAGUGGAGAACACCUGGAAAGAGGACGAUUGUUAAGGUUGGCUCCAAUAGACUUCAAGUGGUUAUUGCACUAAGUGGAGGGGAGCUAAUUUAUUUUGAGGUGGAUAUGACUGGACAACUGAUGGAAGUGGAGAAGCAUGAAAUGUCUGGAGAUGUGGCUUGUUUGGACAUUGCUCCAGUUCCAGAAGGAAGGCAGAGGUCCCGAUUUCUUGCAGUUGGUUCAUAUGACAACACAGUCCGUAUCUUAUCGUUGGAUCCUGAUGACUGCAUGCAGAUUCUUAGUGUCCAAAGUGUAUCAUCGCCUCCCGAAUCUCUCCUUUUUCUUGAAGUUCAGGCAUCAGUUGGUGGGGAGGAUGGUGCUGAUCACCCUGCUAGUCUUUUCCUCAAUGCAGGUUUGCAGAACGGGGUUCUUUUUAGAACAGUGGUUGAUAUGGUGACUGGUCAGCUUUCAGAUUCCCGUUCCAGGUUCUUGGGGCUGAGACCGCCAAAGCUCUUUUCUGUUGUUGUGGGAGGCCGUGCUGCAAUGCUUUGUUUGUCUAGUCGACCCUGGCUUGGCUAUAUUCACCGAGGAUGUUUCCUUUUAACACCUCUUUCCUAUGAGACUCUUGAAUAUGCUGCUUCGUUUUCAUCUGAUCAGUGUGUGGAAGGUGUCGUUUCUGUUGCAGGGAAUGCAUUGAGGGUUUUUACUAUUGAGAAACUUGGAGAAACGUUUAAUGAAACUGCCAUUCCCUUAAGGUAUACCCCCAGAAAGUUUGUUCUUCAACCUAAGAGGAGAUUGCUAGUAAUUAUUGAGAGUGAUCAAGGAGCAUUCACUGCAGAAGAGCGUGAAGCUGCAAAGAAGGAAUGCUUUGAGGCCGCUGGAAUGGGGGAAAAUGGAAAUGGUAAUGUGGACCAGAUGGAAAAUGGUGAUGAUGAGAAUAAAGAUGAUCCCCUCUCUGAUGAGCAGUAUGGUUAUCCUAAGGCAGAGUCGGACAAAUGGGUUUCUUGCAUCAGAGUUCUUGACCCUCGUACAGGUAAUACAACUUGUCUGCUGGAGCUUCAGGACAGUGAAGCUGCAUUCAGUGUAUGCACUGUCAAUUUUCAUGAUAAGGAGUAUGGAACCCUUUUAGCUGUUGGUACAGCAAAAGGACUGCAGUUUUGGCCCAAAAGAAGUAUAGGUGCAGGAUACAUUCAUAUUUAUCGGUUCUUGGAAGAUGGGAAAAGCCUUGAACUUUUGCACAAGACACAAGUGGAAGGUGUUCCUCUUGCUUUAUGCCAGUUUCAGGGAAGAUUACUAGCUGGAAUAGGAAAUGUUCUCAGAUUGUAUGACUUGGGGAAGAAGAGGUUGCUUAGAAAAUGUGAAAAUAAGCUGUUCCCUAACUCUAUCGUUUCUAUUCAUACCUAUCGUGAUCGAAUCUAUGUAGGUGAUAUUCAAGAGUCAUUCCAUUUCUGCAAGUAUAGACGGGAUGAAAAUCAACUCUAUAUUUUUGCCGACGAUUGUGUUCCAAGAUGGGUUACAGCAUCACACCAUAUAGAUUUUGACACUGUGGCUGGUGCAGACAAGUUUGGGAAUGUCUAUUUUGUGCGACUGCCACAGGAUGUUUCAGAUGAGAUAGAAGAAGAUCCGACUGGUGGAAAGAUUAAAUGGGAACAGGGGAGACUCAAUGGAGCUCCCAACAAAGUAGAGGAGAUAGUACAGUUUCAUGUUGGUGAUGUGGUCACAUCCAUGCAGAAGGCAUCUCUGGUUCCAGGUGGUGGAGAGUGCAUCAUUUAUGGGACUGUUAUGGGGAGCUUAGGAGCAUUGCUUGCAUUCACUUCCCGGGAUGAUGUUGACUUCUUUUCUCACCUGGAGAUGCAUAUGAGGCAAGAACACCCACCAUUGUGUGGACGGGAUCACAUGGCUUUUAGAUCUGCAUAUUUCCCUGUGAAGGAUGUGAUUGAUGGAGAUCUAUGUGAACAGUUCCCUACGCUGCCACUGGAUUUGCAACGAAAAAUUGCUGAUGAAUUGGAUAGGACUCCUGGGGAGAUCCUUAAGAAACUUGAAGAAAUUAGAAACAGGAUCGUUUGAGAAAGGAGCUGUUUGCUCGGACCUCGUUGUUGUUACCUCAGUUAAUUUGUUGUAUAUAUAGACAGGAGUGUGGAGAUUUGCGGGAGUAGGAUAUUAGCUCUUAACGUUGGAUAAAUCUCAAUGUUUUCUGUUCAAAUUUGACGCCGCAUUCAAUCGAAUACGUGUUCUGUCGCAGCACUCACAUCUUAAAGUUGGUAUGAAAUUGUUAUAAGAACCACCAAAUAAGAAUCAUACUUGAAACUAAAAUCACUACGGUCGUUUCAGAAUAAAGGGCUAAUAAUAAUCUCUUCUACAUUCUUGAAUUUGCUAUGGAACAUCUUUUGUCUAACCAGCUGAUAAUGUCUUUGAAUACAAUGUCAAUGUUCCU
RNA transcript from Pistacia vera, 4143 nucleotides. It is a transcript of the gene named spliceosome-associated protein 130 A, with no coding region annotated. NCBI's taxonomy places the organism in Eukaryota, Viridiplantae, Streptophyta, Magnoliopsida, Sapindales, Anacardiaceae. The transcript is spliced from 4 exons. The record is from RefSeq and is a predicted model, not a curated record.